AUCGAUAAUCCACGUUAANUUUCACUUUAUUCCAAAAUUUAUAUACCGCCAUUACAAGAAUCAAUUCAAAAAUUUCUCUCUCAACAAUUAAUAAUAAAUUAGGUCAAGGUGUAAUCCAUAUUAAAGAAUUGAUGAAUUACAUUAAAUAAUAUUUAAAGCUUAUUUAUAAACAUAUAAAUAUAAAUAAGAAUUUAAAAACAAUAUAUAAAUAAUAAUUAUAUAUGAUAAAGAUAAUAAAUGUGCACACAUCGCCC
This 254-nucleotide ribosomal RNA is filed under the name Pireneitega sp. ZZ632. RNAcentral describes it as "partial 12S ribosomal RNA". Lineage: Eukaryota; Metazoa; Arthropoda; Arachnida; Araneae; Agelenidae. The record is from RNAcentral.